ACCCCGGUAGGGACGUCAAUACAUGCAAGUCGAACGCUUUGUGGUUCACUGAUUUGAAGAGCUUGCUCAGAUAUGACGAUGGACAUUGCAAAGAGUGGCGAACGGGUGAGUAACACGUGGGAAAACCUACCUCUUAGCAGGGGAAAACAUUUGGAAACAGAGUGCUAAUACCGUAUAAAAAAAGACAACCCCAUGGUUGUUAUUUAAAAAAAGGUUCUUGCUAUCACUAAAAAAAGGUUCCCGCGGGGCACUUAAAUUAGUUGGUAAAGUAAAGGCUUACCAAGGCGAUGAUGCAUAGCCGAGUUAAAAAACUGAUCGGCCCACAAUGGGACUGAGACACGGCCCAUACUCCUACGGGAGGCAGCAGUAGGGAAUUCUUCCACAAUGGGCGAAAGCCUGAUGGAGCAACGCCGCGUGUGUGAUGAAGGGUUUCGGCUCGUAAAACACUGUUGUAAGAGAAGAAUGACAUUGAGAGUAACUGUUCAAUGUGUGACGGUAUCUUACCAGAAAGGAACGGCUAAAUACGUGCCAGCAGCCGCGGUAAUACGUAUGUUCCAAGCGUUAUCCGGAUUUAUUGGGCGUAAAGCGAGCGCAGACGGUUAUUUAAGUCUGAAGUGAAAGCCCUCAGCUCAACUGAGGAAUUGCUUUGGAAACUGGAUGACUUGAGUGCAGUAGAGGAAAGUGGAACUCCAUGUGUAGCGGUGAAAUGCGUAGAUAUAUGGAAGAACACCAGUGGCGAAGGCGGCUUUCUGGACUGUAACUGACGUUGAGGCUCGAAAGUGUGGGUAGCAAACAGGAUUAGAUACCCUGGUAGUCCACACCGUAAACGAUGAGUGCUAGGUGUUUGAGGGUUUCCGCCCUUAAGUGCCGCAGCUAACGCAUUAAGCACUCCGCCUGGGGAGUACGACCGCAAGGUUGAAACUCAAAGGAAUUGACGGGGACCCGCACAAGCGGUGGAGCAUGUGGUUUAAUUCGAAGCAACGCGAAGAACCUUACCAGGUCUUGACAUCCCUUGACAACUCCAGAGAUGGAGCGUUCCCUUCGGGGACAAGGUGACAGGUGGUGCAUGGUUGUCGUCAGCUCCGUGUCCUGAGAUGUUGGGUUAAGUCCCGCAACGAGCGCAACCCUUAUUACUAGUUGCCAGCAUUCAGUUGGGCACUCUAGUGAAACUGCCGGUGACAAACCGGAAGAAGGUGGGGAUGACGUCAAAUCAUCAGGCCCCUUAAGACCGGGGCUACACACGGGGCUAAAAGGGCGUAAACAACGAGUUGCCAACCCCCGAGGGGGGAACUAAUCCCUUAAAAUACCCUCCCAGUUCGGAAUUGUAGGCGGGCAACUCCCCCACAUGAAGUCGGAACCGCUAGUAAUCGCGGAACAGCACCCCCCCGGUGAAAAAAUUUCCCGGGUCUUGUACACACCCCCCGUCACACCAGGAGAAAUUUGUAACACCCCAAAGCCGGGGGGGUAACCUUCUGGGAACCAGCCGUCUCUUAAGGGGGUACCCCCCCAAAUUAGGGGAGGGGGACAAAAAGGGGGGGAAAAAAAACCCAGAGCCAAAGGGAGCAUGGAA
RNAcentral lists this ribosomal RNA (1570 nucleotides) under Weissella confusa. RNAcentral's name for it is "bacterial SSU rRNA". It matches the Rfam family "Bacterial small subunit ribosomal RNA". Lineage: Bacteria; Bacillati; Bacillota; Bacilli; Lactobacillales; Lactobacillaceae. The record is from RNAcentral.